UCUCCGUUGGUGAACCAGCGGAGGGAUCAUUACAGAGUUUUAUAACUCCCAACCCUUUGUGAACUUACCUUUGUUGCCUCGGCGGGGCUUACCCGGUACCGAUCCCUUUUGGGAGAAGCUACCCUGUAACCCGCCGGUGGACAUUCCAACUCUUGUUAAUUUUAAUGUUAUCUGAGCGUCUUAUUUUAAUAAGUCAAAACUUUCAACAACGGAUCUCUUGGUUCUGGCAUCGAUGAAGAACGCAGC
RNAcentral lists this unclassified non-coding RNA (246 nucleotides) under uncultured fungus. Its description in RNAcentral is "sequence contains ITS1, 5.8S rRNA gene". The stretch from base 198 to 246 matches the Rfam family "5.8S ribosomal RNA", at positions 1 to 49 of the family's 154-position model. The record is from RNAcentral. Lineage: Eukaryota; Fungi.